This 333-nucleotide long non-coding RNA is filed under the name Cucumis sativus (cucumber). RNAcentral describes it as "long non-coding RNA (CSAT_LNC003026)". Lineage: Eukaryota; Viridiplantae; Streptophyta; Magnoliopsida; Cucurbitales; Cucurbitaceae. The record is from RNAcentral.
GCAUGGAGGCUGUUUAUUUGAGUCGGAAGCCCACUGCAAAAUCUGUUUUGGAGUUUGUUCGAUCUGUCCAUGAUGAUACAAAUUUGUUAUGAUCAUAUUGCAUUUUGAAGUUUUGGGUAUUUUUCUUCCAUUUCUUUUCUACUUCCAAUUUCUGCUUAUUUUUUAUUCUUUCGUAUGUAUAUUAUUUUUUAAUGGUCACUUGUUGUGCAAUGUCUUUCUUUUAAGUCGUUGGCUACUUUGUAAAGAGAAGAACAAAGUGAACUAUGUUAUCGUUCUACUCUUUCUACCCCAUUUCUGUAAAGAAGCAAGAAAACACCUAACAGGCAUAUCAAU